GACGAACGCUGGCGGCGUGCUUAACACAUGCAAGUCGAACGGAAAGGCCCUGCUUUUGUGGGGUGCUCGAGUGGCGAACGGGUGAGUAACACGUGAGUAACCUGCCCUUGACUUUGGGAUAACUUCAGGAAACUGGGGCUAAUACCGGAUAGGAGCUCCUGCUGCAUGGUGGGGGUUGGAAAGUUUCGGCGGUUGGGGAUGGACUCGCGGCUUAUCAGCUUGUUGGUGGGGUAGUGGCUUACCAAGGCUUUGACGGGUAGCCGGCCUGAGAGGGUGACCGGCCACAUUGGGACUGAGAUACGGCCCAGACUCCUACGGGAGGCAGCAGUGGGGAAUAUUGCACAAUGGGCGGAAGCCUGAUGCAGCAACGCCGCGCGCGGGAUGACGGCCUUCGGGUUGUAAACCGCUUUCGCCUGUGACGAAGCGUGAGUGACGGUAAUGGGUAAAGAAGCACCGGCUAACUACGUGCCAGCAGCCGCGGUGAUACGUACGGUGCGAGCGUUGUCCGGAUUUAUUGGGCGUAAAGGGCUCGUAGGUGGUUGAUCGCGUCGGAAGUGUAAUCUUGGGGCUUAACCCUGAGCGUGCUUUCGAUACGGGUUGACUUGAGGAAGGUAGGGGAGAAUGGAAUUCCUGGUGGAGCGGUGGAAUGCGCAGAUAUCAGGAGGAACACCAGUGGCGAAGGCGGUUCUCUGGGCCUUUCCUGACGCUGAGGAGCGAAAGCGUGGGGAGCGAACAGGCUUAGAUACCCUGGUAGUCCACGCUGUAAACGGUGGGUACUAGGUGUGGGGUCCAUUCCACGGGUUCCGUGCCGUAGCUAACGCUUUAAGUACCCCGCCUGGGGAGUACGGCCGCAAGGCUAAAACUCAAAGGAAUUGACGGGGCCCCGCACAAGCGGCGGAGCAUGCGGAUUAAUUCGAUGCAACGCGUAGAACCUUACCUGGGUUUGACAUGGAUCGGGAGUGCUCAGAGAUGGGUGUGCCUCUUUUGGGGUCGGUUCACAGGUGGUGCAUGGCUGUCGUCAGCUCGUGUCGUGAGAUGUUGGGUUAAGUCCCGCAACGAGCGCAACCCUUGUUCACUGUUGCCAGCACGUUAUGGUGGGGACUCAGUGGAGACCGCCGGGGUCAACUCGGAGGAAGGUGGGGAUGACGUCAAGUCAUCAUGCCCCUUAUGUCCAGGGCUUCACGCAUGCUACAAUGGCUGGUACAGAGAGUGGCGAGCCUGUGAGGGUGAGCGAAUCUCGGAAAGCCGGUCUCAGUUCGGAUUGGGGUCUGCAACUCGACCUCAUGAAGUCGGAGUCGCUAGUAAUCGCAGAUCAGCAACGCUGCGGUGAAUACGUUCCCGGG
This 1343-nucleotide ribosomal RNA is filed under the name uncultured bacterium. RNAcentral describes it as "16S ribosomal RNA". It matches the Rfam family "Bacterial small subunit ribosomal RNA", at positions 28 to 1378 of the family's 1533-position model. The record is from RNAcentral.